This is a long non-coding RNA of Suricata suricatta (meerkat), 244 nucleotides long. RefSeq lists it as uncharacterized. The record is from RefSeq and is a predicted model, not a curated record. NCBI's taxonomy places the organism in Eukaryota, Metazoa, Chordata, Mammalia, Carnivora, Herpestidae. The transcript has 2 exons.
UUUGUGGUAGAAUCCUUUCAACUCCGUAACUCUGAAAAUUAAGAUUUUACUUUUCCAAUGCCAAAGUGAAUGUACUGUGGUGAGAAUACACACUCGAUUUUAUAGGCUCUCUUCUAGGUCAUCAGGAUAUGUAAGUGAACAAAGCAGACACAACUACCCGUCCAUGUGCCUCACGCAGUAUGUCUUUUCCCUGGGGAAAAGACAGAGCUAAUGAAAAAAAUAAAGGGUGUUUGGCGUUAAGAAA